UUAAAAAGUAAUGUGAUCUCUCCAGCUUUUUAGUAUAGUCAUCUAGUGCUAUGAACUUGCUUCUUAGAACCACCUUUAUUGUGUUCUGUAAGUUUGGGUAUGUUGUGUACUCAUUUUCAUUAGAUUCUAGAAAUUCUUUAAUUCCUUUCUUUAUUUUGGGCUUGACUGAUUUUUUUUUAUUCAGUGGUGAGUUGUUCAGUUUCCAUGAGUUUGUAAACUUCUCUGUUGUUGAUAUGUAGCUUUAAUCCAUAAUGGUGUGAUAGGGUGCAGGAGGUUAUUUGAAUUUUCUUGUAUCUUUUGAGACUUGCUUUGUAUUUGAGUAUGUGGUCAAUUUUAGAUAAAGUUCCAUGAGGUACUGAGAAGAAGGUUGUGUGUGUGUGUGUGUGUGUGUGUGUGUGUGUGUGUGUGUGUGUGUGUGUUUCAGUGAAAUUUUCUGUAAGUACCUGUUAGGUCCAUUUGUUUUAUGAAAUCAGCUCCAGAAUUUCUUGGCUUAGUUUUGUCUAUUGGCAAGAGAGCAGUGCUGAAUUUUCCCACUAUCAGUGUAUAAGGGUCAAUAUGUGAUUUAAGCUGUAGUAGUGUUUCUUUUACAAAACUGAGUGACUGUCUGUUGAGUGCAAAUAUGUUAAGGAUAGUAAUGUCCUUUUGGUAAAUUUUUCCUUUGAUGAGUACAUAGUGUCCUUCCCUAUCUCUUCUGAUUAGCUUUAGUUUUAAGUCUAUUUUUAGGAUAUUAAAACAUCUAAGAUAUUAAUUUUUUCUUUGACUGAGAUAUCCAUUUCUUGUAUCUUGUCUAUAGUGCUUGAGAUUAUCUCUUCCAUUUCCUUUAUUUUGGUGGUGAGACUUCCCUCUAAGGUUCCUUUUCAAGUUCCUAAACAUUUCAUUUUUAAAUUUCCCUAAGUUAGUUUUUUUAUUGAUUCUAUUUCCACUUUUAAGUCUUGAACAUUUUCAUUCAUUUCCUUCCAGUUCUUGCUUAUGUUUUUGUACACUUCUUUAAGGGAUUUAUUAAUUUAUUCUUUAAAGACCUCUAUGAUAUCCAUCAAGACUCUUUUAAAAUCUUUACAUUGUGUUUCAGAUAUGUUGUAUUAUUAUGAUCUUGCAGUGGUAAGGUUGCUGGGCUGUAGUGGAGACACAAUGUCCCAGCUGUGUUUGAUUAUAUUUUUACACUGGUGUCUAUACAUCUGUGAUUGGGAUUGGUAUAAUUCUAGGUACUGGUAUAUGUUCUUGUUCUGAGGGUGUUUUGUUCCUUGCUUUCUCUUUCAUAUCUGAUACUUUGGCGAGUGUAAUGGCUGUGUGCUAUAGGAGUUCUGGAAUCCUUAUAUUAAUGGGCACUGGGUUUUCCCAGUAGAAUGUGUAUCUGGAUAUUGGGAGCUGACACUUGGGAAUGGAGUUGGGUUGGGAUCUGAGAGAUUUCACAGGAAGGAGGAAAUCAGUAUGUUCCACCAAGCAGAGAGUGUGGAGAGGCCACAGUAGAAGGUCAGCUACAGAGGUGAGGAUGAGAUUGGGAGACUGGAUUUGAAGGAAUGAAUGGAGAGGUGAAGAUCUUCAAUUAGUCUACUUGCUUCCCUGGUCAGGGUAGCCUGUGGAUUCCCAGGUAAUGCUUGCUGAAGAUGUGGGCUGGAAUAAAACAAUAAAUGGAAAAGGGAGGAACUGCAUAAUUCACUGGAGACGCUAGUGGUGGGUGAGGCUUCAGCAGGUGUUCUGCUGUAGAGGUGAGGAUGAAACUGGGAGGUUGGAUUUGGAGAAGCUGAAGGAGGGAUGAAGGUCUGCAGUUUGUCUACCUGCUUCCUUGGCAAGAGUGGCUUGCAGGUUUGUAGGGAAUGCUUACUGACAUAGGGGUCUUGGAUAAAGCAAUUAGUUCUGGGAAGGAGAUUAGGAGAAAAAGAUUUGUGUAAUCUACUGGAACAUGUUGUGGAGGAGAGAAGCCUUAUCAGAUGUUUUGCUGCAGAGCUGGGGAUGCGACUGGGGGAUUGGAUUCAUAGGAGCUGAAGGAAAAAUGCAGAUCAGAAGUUAGACUACCUGCUCCUUGGCAAGAUUGGCUUGUUGUUUCUCUUCAUUUUGAUUGGUUGUGCACAACUUAGCGGUAACCAAUAGCUUUCUAAUUGGACUUAAGACCUCUUCAACAAGAAGGGAACUGUGCCUGGUACUCAAACUUUUGUUACAUAAUUUAUGCCUCUUGGGAAGAAAAAAUUUAACCCAUGUGGCAUAACUUCAUUAUAUUAGUAAAGUAACAGCAUAUCUAAAAGCUCUAAAGCAAAAAUAAAUCAUACCCAAAGGGAACAGACAAUGAGAAAUAAUCAAACUGAGGGCUGAAAUCAAAUUUUGACAAUUUUAAUCCAUGGUGGUCAGACAGGUUGAAAGAUGCUAUUUAAAUGUAAAUAUAUGUUCCAUUUUGGAGAAAGAUCCAUGAUUACUGAGAAGAUCAUGUCCUCUGGAAUCCCAUCUGGCUUUGCAUGUGCAGACCGAGUGUAUGUAUGCUUCCACUGUCUCUGUGAGUUUAUAUGUGUGUCAAUCCUUCUGUGUCUGGAAUACCUUGUUUCCUUGGUGUCUUCCAUCCCUACUGUCUCUUACAAUCUUUCUGCCUCCUCUUCUCCAAAGAGUCCUUAAGGGAGAGGUUUUUUGGAGACAUCCCAUUUAGGACUAAAUGUUCCAAGAUCUCCCACUCUCUGCACAUUGUCCAGUUGUAAGCCUCUGUAUUUGUUCCCAUCUACCACAGGGUAAAGUUUAUCUCAUGAUGGAUAACCAAGACAUUAAUCUAUGGAUAUAGCAGAAUGUUGUUAGGUGUCUUUUGGUAGUGAGAGAUGUCUAGUUGGGGCUUUGUCUCCCAGUUGUUAGGUGAAUAUAUAUAGAAUUCUUUCAUUUAUGGAUAUAUAGUAAGAAACUUAUACUUAGUAGAUUUUUACAUGAUCCUCAGGUGUUCCUCACUUUUAGAAGUUUCUCCCAUAUUCCCUCCCUUGUAUCCUCUUCCUUCAUCAUAUCCAUCUUCCAGUAUCAUCUCACACCCUGUCUCUUCUAAACUAUAUAUUCUGUUUUCCCAUCCUUGAGAAGUCCUUCCCUAACUUGACCCCUACUUUAUACCUAAUCUAUGUGGCUAUAUGAAUUGUGACAAUUCCUGUUGAAGGCUUAAAAGCUACUGUCUAUAUAUAUGAGAAUAUAUACAGUAUUUGUCUUUUGGAGUCUGGGUUACUUCACUUGGGAUUAAUUUUUUCUAGAUUCAUCCAUUUAUCUGUCUAAUAGGAAUAGAGUAUCAGUGAACAUGGAUAUCCUUGUCUCUGUAGUAGGGUAUAUGUAUUAUGGUGAACAUUUAGAUCUUGAGGAAGAAAUAUUCUCAGCUUUCUAGGAAACACUACAUAGAUUUCUAUAGGGGCUCUACAAGUUUGCACUCUCAAAAGCAAUAGAUGAGUAUUUCCAUUACACCACAUCCUCAUCAGCAUAGGAUGCCAUUUGUUUUAUUGAUCUUGGCCAUUCUUGCUGGUAUAAGAUGAAAUUUCAAAGUGAUUUCAGUUUGUAUUUUCCUGAUGACUAAGGUUGUUGAAGACUUCUUUUAGUGGUUCAUUUUUUGUGAGAAUUGCUUAUAUUUGAACCCCAUUUUUAAAUUGGACUCUUUCGUUUUCUUUUCCUUUGUUCUCCAGUUUUUUUUAAUUAGAGAAAAUUGUGGAGGUAUCACCAUCUCAAUCUCAAAAUGAACUACAGAGCUAUAGUAAUACAGACAGCUAUAAUAAAAAUAGACUUAUUGAUUAGUGGAGUCAAAUUAAAAACUCACACAUAAAUCAACAUAUCUAUGGACAUUGAAAUUUUGAUAAAGAAGACAGAAAUAUACACUGGAUAAAAGACAGUCUCUUCAACAAAUGUUGCUGGUCAAACCAAAUGGCUACUUGUAGAAGAAUGCAAAAAAGAUACAUAUUCAUCAUUCUGCAUGAAACUCAACUCUAAAAAGAUCAAGGGACUUAAAAUAAGGCCAGAUACACUGAACCUAAUAGAGAAAGUGAGGAGUAAGUAGGCUUGAAAUAAUUGGCGUUGGAAAAGACUUUUGAACCAGACAUUGAUAGUACAGGUAAUAAGAACAACAGUUAAUAGAUGGGACCCCAUGAAGCUGAAAAGCUUCUGUAAAACAAAGACCACCAUAAUUUGGAUAAAGGAUCAGGGCAUAGAAUGAGAAGAUAUGUUGACAGAUUACACAUUAAUAGAGGGUUAAUGCCUAAAAUAUGUAAAAUAAUUCUAUUUCUUCGUUAAAUUUUACAUUAAUAUCUUGAGUUGUUUUCAUUAUUUCAUUCAGCUGUUUGUGUUUUCACUGUCCUCACUAUGAUAUUUUCUUAUAUUCUGUAGGAUCCACGAACAUAGUCAUAAUUGAUAGUUUGAAACCUUUGUCUUGUGCUUCAGAUAAAUUACUUUUUCAGGUUUUAAAAUAAUAGGCUUACUGGCUCUGGAGGAAACAUAUUGUCCUGAUUGUUUAUGGUUGUGUUAUUACACUUGUAUCUAGUCAUCUGGAGUUACCAUAUUUGAACUGUUUCUGUUCUCAUCUUGGUUGGUUGGUGGGUUCUGUCCUUUCAUUGCUGUUGCCUAUUCUCAGGCCUAGACCAAUGUGGAAGCUGUGGGGACCCUGAUUCCCAGCCAGAUUUGUAGGUAUAGGGUUCCCUGUUGGGAAGUUGUUCUGCAGGUCAGAAGAAAGUCACAAAGGAUGGAGAUGGGGUGGAAGAAAAGGCUGAAAGGUGCAUCUGGAUGGAACUAGAGUGAUCCUGGGUCCCCACCAGAAGGCUGAGUGUGGCUCACAAAGGCAGGCUGCAGUGUGACUAAGGGUGAUGGAUGAUGUUUGGUUAGGACUCUGAGAAUGAUCCCUCCCGUGUCCUGAACCUUCUGGCCUGGCAUCUACUGAAAACUCAGCCUUCUCAGCAGUGAUGACCAUGUGAAACUUCUCCUCUUUCUGUUAAGAAUAGAGUGAACAGCAACAGUGCUCAGAGCUGCAGACUCAAGGCAAUCUCUCCCCAGAACUGUGGCCUUUCUUUCCCCCCCCCCCCACAGAUAGCUCAGCUUCCACAUGAGACAGUGACCAGGGUGACUAAGUUGACAAGAACUGAUUAUCUAAGGUAUUUGGAUUUGUAUGUAUAAAGGUUUAGGUUUGUGACUACUUUAUAAUUUGCCCUCUGUCUUAGAUAGGCUGUCUAUUGCUGUGAUAAAACACAUGGCCAAAUCAACUUAGGGAAGAAAGGGUUUAUUUCUUUUUACAACUCUCAGGUCACACUCCCUCACUGAAGGAAGACAGAGCAGGAACUCAAACAGGAACCCGGAGGCAGCAACUGAAGCAGAAGCUAUAAAGAAAUGCUGUUACUGCUGACCUGAACAUCGGGGAACUCUUGCUCCCCAGGCUGAUAGCUGAAAUACCAGCAUGAGACUGAUCCAGAACCCAGGAACAUGGGUUUCUAUGAGGAAACCUCAGAAAUCUACGGAACCUUCUGUAGGAGUUCAGUACUUAUCCCUAGCAUAGGUGUGGACUUUGGGAGCCCAUUCCACAUAGAGGAAUACUCCCUGAGCCAAGACACACGGGGUUGGGCCUAGGCCCUAUCCCAAAGGAUACAAUAGACUCUGAUGACACCCUAUGGAAGGCCUCACCAUCUAGGGGGAGCAGAAAGGAUAUGUGAUAGAUAGGGUUUUAGUUGGAGGCAGGAGUGGUAGGAGAGGACAGGAGGGUGAAGGGAACUGGAAUUGUCAUGUAAAACAAUCUUGUUUCUAAUUCAAAUAAAAAACGUUGAAAAAUAAAAUUAUAAUUUAUUUAAAAAAGUGAACUGAUUAUCU
This 5784-nucleotide long non-coding RNA is filed under the name Cricetulus griseus (Chinese hamster). RNAcentral's name for it is "lncRNA (ENSCGRG00015037980.1)". The record is from RNAcentral. Lineage: Eukaryota; Metazoa; Chordata; Mammalia; Rodentia; Cricetidae.